RNAcentral lists this ribosomal RNA (429 nucleotides) under Bacillota bacterium. RNAcentral describes it as "Firmicutes bacterium partial 16S ribosomal RNA". It matches the Rfam family "Bacterial small subunit ribosomal RNA", at positions 355 to 776 of the family's 1533-position model. Lineage: Bacteria; Bacillati; Bacillota. The record is from RNAcentral.
UAGGGAAUCUUCGGCAAUGGACGGAAGUCUGACCGAGCAACGCCGCGUGAGUGAAGAAGGUUUUCGGAUCGUAAAGUUCUUUUGUUAGAGAAGAACGUUGGUAGGAGUGGAAAAUUUACCAAGUGACGGUAACUAACCAGAAAGGGACGGCUAACUACGUGCCAGCAGCCGCGGUAAUACGUAGGUCCCGAGCGUUGUCCGGAUUUAUUGGGCGUAAAGCGAGCGCAGGCGGUUCUUUAAGUCUGAAGUUAAAGGCUGUGGCUUAACCAUUGUACGCUUUGGAAGCUGGAGGGCUUGAGUGCAGAAGGUGGGAGUGGAAUUCCAUGUGUAGCGGUGAAAUGCGUAGAUAUAUGGAGGAACACCGGUGGCGAAAGCGACUUUCUGGUAUGUAACUGACGCUGAGGCUCGAAAGCGUGGGGAGCAAACAGG